GACACUGACACUGAGGUGCGAAAGCGUGGGUAGCAAACAGGAUUAGAUACCCUGGUAGUCCACGCCGUAAACGAUGUCGACCAGCCGUUGGGUGCCUAGCGCACUUUGUGGCGAAGUUAACGCGAUAAGUCGACCGCCUGGGGAGUACGGCCGCAAGGUUAAAACUCAAAUGAAUUGACGGGGGCCCGCACAAGCGGUGGAGCAUGUGGUUUAAUUCGAUGCAACGCGAAGAACCUUACCUACUCUUGACAUCCUGCGAACUUGUGAGAGAUCACUUGGUGCCUUCGGGAGCGCAGAGACAGGUGCUGCAUGGCUGUCGUCAGCUCGUGUUGUGAAAUGUUGGGUUAAGUCCCGUAACGAGCGCAACCCUUGUCCUUAUUUGCCAGCGGGUAAUGCCGGGAACUCUAAGGAGACUGCCGGUGACAAACCGGAGGAAGGUGGGGACGACGUCAAGUCAUCAUGGCCCUUACGAGUAGGGCUACACACGUGCUACAAUGGCCGGUACAAAGGGUUGCGAGCUCGCGAGAGUCAGCUAAUCCCGAAAAGCCGGUCUCAGUCCGGAUCGGAGUCUGCAACUCGACUCCGUGAAGUCGGAAUCGCUAGUAAUCGUGAAUCAGAAUGUCACGGUGAAUACGUUCCCGGGCCUUGUACACACCGCCCGU
RNAcentral lists this ribosomal RNA (662 nucleotides) under uncultured bacterium. RNAcentral describes it as "bacterial SSU rRNA". It matches the Rfam family "Bacterial small subunit ribosomal RNA", at positions 736 to 1397 of the family's 1533-position model. The record is from RNAcentral.